This is a long non-coding RNA of Tachysurus vachellii, 1313 nucleotides long. RefSeq lists it as uncharacterized. The record is from RefSeq and is a predicted model, not a curated record. NCBI's taxonomy places the organism in Eukaryota, Metazoa, Chordata, Actinopteri, Siluriformes, Bagridae. The transcript has 2 exons.
ACCAACGAAGUUUGUUCUCAUCUGUCAGGCUAGUGUGUUUUUGUUUCCAUUUACCCUGGAUUUGACAAUGUCACAAUACACAGUAUGUACACAUGUUGACUUCUGUUUCUGUCCAGACCAGUCCACAAUCAGUAUUUUGAAAUGCAUUUGUUAUGUUAUAAGAACAGGGAUCUGUGACUAGGUAAAAUGAUCUCAGUUCCCUUGCAUUUAUUUGUAAUCUUGCAGUACAAAAUGAAUAUGUUAUGUGACUGUCUGACAUUGUUUUUUCUUUGGAAUGUUUUAGGUGAAAAACCAGGAAGCUGCAUUCAUAAAUGGAUGAUUAGUUUUGAGGGGCAAAUAAUCUGUGAGGGCAUCCAGCCAAGUUUCCUGUCUGGACUUGCUGCUGUGUUUUUGACUUUCUACAUUUUCAAUGUUGGAGUAUCAAGCUGAGGCUGCAUCCAGGUUGGAAUUUAUUCAGAGGUGGUUCAUUGGCAUAAAUCCUGAAAAAGGUACCAAGGGUGGACAAGUCCUAUCAAAGCGGACAGGGAAGGUCGCUCACAAAAAGAAAUCAUGCAACACUCUGGUUGCCAGUCUCCUUAAGAAGCUAAUGGACUUUGAAUGGGACUUCAUAUAAGUGAACCCACUCAUUCACUAACAUACCACACACCUUACACAUACACUUCACACACAACAAAAACAUGCUUUUAGUGUGAAAGUCGCACAAUUUUUUCAGGUGUUCAUUCUUGAAUACCUAAAUUUUGACUUCAUUCUUCAUUGAAUUCUUUCUUCAUUCAGUAAUUCUUAUUUACUAAUGAUUCACUAAUUCAUAUUCACUCAGUAUUUCUCUGAGUCACUCAUUUAUUUGUUUCUAAUAAUAUAUUAGUUUUGUUUAUUCAGUGAAACAAAAAUCAGCCACUAAUUUUGAGAAUAUUUUGUGAUUAGAGUGGCUUUUGUUUUUCAAAGUUUUAAUAAAGCACAUUUUGAAGUUACACUGCAUUGUGUUCAAUUUUUAAUGUUUCAAAAGCUAUAUUUGUACGUUGUAUUAAAACAUGUUUUUUUCUUAAGUCCAUUUCUCAGUAUAAUAACAACAUAUUUGUAGUUUACAGUUAAAAAAGUGCAAAUAAACAUUAAUUAACUGUUAAUGCUUUUGACAGUAAUUUACUGUUAAUGUAGAAAAUAACAGCUUUAUGCUGUAUUUAUAAAAACAGUAACAAACUGUAAAUUUCAACAAGACAAGACACUGUUAUUUUAACAGUAACUUGCUGGCAACCGUGCUGACAGUUACUUACUGUUUUUUAACAGGACAAUUUUUAACAGUGUGCUAUAAAUAAAUA